UCGGUUGAUUUUUGCGAUUGAUGAAGAAAAAGUGGCGUCGUUAAUUAGCUUUGAGCUUUCUGACAGUUACUUGUUGAUCAUAUGCAGAGUGAGAGCGAGAGCUGCUACAGAACGAUCAAAGAAUCAUGGGAUCUGAUCGCUCACACGACAACCCAACCCGGAGGAUUGCACAAGCUGCAGAGGUCGUUUCACCUAUGCAAGUAAGUAAAGUAGCAGCACACCACACCAGACAAAAAAAAAAGCUCUUUGAGUCAUUUCGUCGAACAGCCGUUGGUCAACUUGCAAGUUGGUUAAACUCGAGUAUUCUCUUUUUCAACGAUUUCGUGGUUCUCAGGAAGGAGGAUGCGACAUACCUGUCAGGGUGGCUACGUACGGCGUGGGUGUACACAGCGAUGACUGAUUAUCCAACUGCCUCGAAUUUUCUGGCGCCAUUGCCGGCUUAUCCGGUGAG
RNAcentral lists this long non-coding RNA (451 nucleotides) under Linum usitatissimum (flax). RNAcentral describes it as "long non-coding RNA (LUSI_LNC005175)". The record is from RNAcentral. Lineage: Eukaryota; Viridiplantae; Streptophyta; Magnoliopsida; Malpighiales; Linaceae.